Molecule: long non-coding RNA, 1654 nt
Filed under: Betta splendens (Siamese fighting fish)
Lineage: Eukaryota; Metazoa; Chordata; Actinopteri; Anabantiformes; Osphronemidae
Description: lncRNA (ENSBSLG00000020739.1)
Source: RNAcentral
CGCCAGCGUUUGAAUGGGGGUCCGUGGGUGGCGGUCCCCCCGGAGAGCUGGGUGAAGCUCCCACAUGACCCGGCCCGGCCCUGUCCACGUCUGGAUGAUUCCCCUGCAUUUCCAGUCAUUCCGACCCAGCCUCCCUCAUCUCGGCGUCACCUGCCCCGGCCCAAUUUACCGUCCAGCCACCCGGAGUCCACACACACACACACACACACACACACACACACACACUUGACAAAGGAAAACAAGGUAAAGACUGUUUUCCUCAGAGACGCUGGAUCGUUUUGGAGGAUAUUAUUUCUAUGUUUUCUCUGCCAACAUGGACUACUGCGUUUUGAAUGGAUUUCUGGUGGCUAUUUUGAUUCAGCAUUGCACAUCUGAAGGUCUGUCCACCUCAAAUCAAUCAUUGUCAGUGGUCAGCUUCAAAGAUGUUCGGGCUCCACCGCAUGAACCAGAUGUGCCUCAUGUAGAUGUGGUGCCAGUAGUGGCCCCUCCAAGCCUGAAGGAAGUGCAGCAGGUAAUGCAGGAAGCAUCGGAGCGGGUGGAGGGUCAUGCAGCAGAGGAAGUGCUGAAGGAGCUUCUAGAGAAGGUUGAGGCAGCUAUGGGCCAAGUGGAAGGAGGGGGUGAGGGAAAAGGAGAUGAGGCAGCAGUACAGAAAGCAGUCACAGAGGAUGCACUGGGGGCUGAUAAAGGAGAUUCUGACACCAAAGACGUGUUGGAGCAAGAGGCAGAGGAGGAGGUGGUGGAGGGUAAAGAUAUGGGCCCUGAGGGAGGGGAUACGGCUGCUGGAAAGGAGCAGGUGGUAGCAGAGGUGGAUGCAUUUAAAGAUAUAGCUGAGGAGGAGGAAAGAGUUGUGAAGAAGAAGAAGGGGCUGACUGCAGCUGGAUCUGUGGAGGAGACUGCAGCAGCUGGAGGAACUGGAGAUAGGGUGGAGGUCAUCAACAAGUCCCUGGACACUGGAGUGAGUCAGGAGGAAAAGGGGGCCACUUCAAAAGAGGCCGGAGGAGAUUUAACGGCCCAGGAGGCAAAGGUAGCGGACGACCAUGAGCAGGUUGGGCGUUCAAAAGCAGAGGGUCCGGCGGAAACAGGAACACUCAAGGCAGAGCCAACGCUACGGGUUGUGACGAUGGCUCUGGGUGACGAGCAGGAGAACGCGGGAGCGUCCGACCCAGGCCUGGCCGGCGCCGGAGCGGAGCAGCCGGGGGACGCGGGGGGCGAGGACGGAGCGCUGGCAGAAGAAGCCCCAGCAGAUGAAAACGAAGGCGAGAUCGAGACGUCACCUUCUGACAGCAAUGACAUGGAGGUCCCAAACACAGUAGCAGAAGAAGAGGGGGGGGAUCCUGCAACAGGCCCGAGCACGGAGGGCAAACCAGAGGGAGGUGCUGUCGAUGAGGGUGCAGACGUAUCGGUAGAAACGGGAGGAGGACGAGAUGGAGUCAGCGAAGUUAGCGAAGUUAGCGAGAGCGCGGCCGACAAAGAGGGGGAGCCACCAGCAGGAGGAGAUCACCCGGAGCCGUCACGUGGCUCUGGAACGGAGCAUCGAGGUGAGAUAUGGAGGUGUAAACAUGUGAUACUGCUCCCCUGUAACAAAGAUCAACCUAUAACUAGUCUAUAUCUGCUCUGUGUGAAACGUCAGGGUCACAAAAACAAGAAGUGCUAA